This 229-nucleotide ribosomal RNA is filed under the name uncultured bacterium. Its description in RNAcentral is "partial 16S ribosomal RNA". It matches the Rfam family "Bacterial small subunit ribosomal RNA", at positions 104 to 334 of the family's 1533-position model. The record is from RNAcentral.
CGGGGUGAGUAAUGUCUGGGAAACUGCCUGAUGGAGGGGGAUAACUACUGGAAACGGUAGCUAAUACCGCAUAACGUCGCAAGACCAAAGAGGGGGACCUUCGGGCCUCUUGCCAUCGGAUGUGCCCAGAUGGGAUUAGCUAGUAGGUGGGGUAGUGGCUCACCUAGGCGACGAUCCCUAGCUGGUCUGAGAGGAUGACCAGCCACACUGGAACUGAGACACGGUCCAG